UGGGGAAUUUUGGACAAUGGGCGAAAGCCUGAUCCAGCAAUGCCGCGUGUGUGAAGAAGGCCUUCGGGUUGUAAAGCACUUUUGUCCGGAAAGAAAUCCUUGGCUCUAAUACAGUCGGGGGAUGACGGUACCGGAAGAAUAAGCACCGGCUAACUACGUGCCAGCAGCCGCGGUAAUACGUAGGGUGCAAGCGUUAAUCGGAAUUACUGGGCAUAAAGCGUGCGCAGGCGGUUUGCUAAGACCGAUGUGAAAUCCCCGGGCUCAACCUGGGAACUGCAUUGGUGACUGGCAGGCUAGAGUAUGGCAGAGGGGGGUAGAAUUCCACGUNUGAGCAGUGAAAUGCGUAGAGAUGUGGAGGAAUACCGAUGGCGAAGGCAGCCCCCUGGGCAAUACUGACGCUCAUGCACGAAAGCGUGGGGAGCAAACAGGAUUAGAUACCCUGGUAGUCCACGCCCUAAACGAUGUCAACUAGUUGUUGGGAUUCAUUUCCUAGUAACGUAGCUAACGCGUGAAGUUGACCGCCUGGGGAGUACGGUCGCAAGAUUAAAACUCAAAGGAAUUGAC
Molecule: ribosomal RNA, 564 nt
Filed under: uncultured bacterium
Lineage: Bacteria
Description: partial 16S ribosomal RNA
Rfam family: Bacterial small subunit ribosomal RNA
Source: RNAcentral